GCUGCUGCUAAUUUCGUCACACACAAAAACAGUGGGGCAGCAUAGAAGCAGUAGACAAGACAAAAAUAAUGCAUAUGUAAUCUAACCUACAGAACAAAUGACUAGAAAAAAGACUUUGUAAACGAAUAACUGACAGAACAUCAAAACGUAUUCAGCACAGCACGUAUCCGGGCCAGUUUGGUUGGGCUGUUGCUGGAUAAUGGCUAAUACAUUGAAUAUUGAAUACUGUUUGAUUUA
This 237-nucleotide small RNA is filed under the name Drosophila pseudoobscura pseudoobscura. RNAcentral's name for it is "GA32479". Lineage: Eukaryota; Metazoa; Arthropoda; Insecta; Diptera; Drosophilidae. The record is from RNAcentral.